GGGAUUGUUGACGUUCGUUAUUGACAUACUUUUAGUGCUAUUUAACUAAUAUUUUCAUGCAUAUUCUUAUACUAGCCCACCACUUGGCACUUGAAAUAACCUCGUUUUCGCAUAUGCAAGACAUUUUGGAGGAUAUUUUGUUUUCGCAGGAAAUUGGGCUAAAUAUGCACUUUUUGGAUAAAUCCUUGAACGAGCAGUGGACCAUAGAAAGAUGAAGACCAGGAGGCACAAAAAGGACCUAGGUCGAUCAGCCUGGUGCCCCUUAGGCCAAUUAGCUUGAGGUCUUCUAAUC
This 292-nucleotide long non-coding RNA is filed under the name Setaria viridis. RNAcentral's name for it is "long non-coding RNA (SVIR_LNC000916)". The record is from RNAcentral. Lineage: Eukaryota; Viridiplantae; Streptophyta; Magnoliopsida; Poales; Poaceae.